Pelobates cultripes (western spadefoot toad) is the source of this 657-nucleotide non-coding RNA. The record is from the annotation of a GenBank genome assembly. Lineage: Eukaryota; Metazoa; Chordata; Amphibia; Anura; Pelobatidae.
ACACUGUCCACUUUUUAUGUAAGACAUUCUAAACUGCAACUUUAUAAAAACAAUUUGAAAGUUUAUAAAUUAAAGGGACACUAUAGACAUCAGAACCACUACAGCCUAUUGUAGUGUUUUUGGUGUUUAUAGCUCGCCAUGCAGACUUUCCAAUGUAAAUACUGUCUAGUAACACCUUUAGGUGCAGUCACGCAGAUAGCAACUAGAGGUGCUUCCUAGUCGAGCGUCUCCACACUCUGCAUGGAAACCCUGAACGCUUCCUAGGGAGAUGCAUUGAUGCAUUAUGAAGAGAUGCGGAUUGGUGCUGCGUUUUCCUAUGGGAAAGCAUUAAAUUGGCUGAGAUCAUCAAAACUGAUAUUCUUGGGCAUGGAGGUAAACUCACCUUUUAAUUCCACCAAGAGAGGGGCCAGAAACAAACAGCCACACCAGCACUAUAGUGUUAGGAUUACAUGCAGCUGUAGCUAUACUUGCAGCGCUGGAUACAGAGAGCUUAUCUCUGUAUUAAUUAUUCAGAGGCUUGCAUUGUCACGGCUUCCUGUGCCGCUGUGUUGUGAACUCUUGACUGUAGUUAUGGCAUAAUUUGCAAUAAAAAAAAAAAUAAAAAAAUUAUUUGCAAUUAUGCUAAUGUUUAUACAUGAUUGGCAGUCGUGCAUUCAU